AGGACGAACGCUGGCGGCGUGCUUAACACAUGCAAGUCGAGCGGAAAGGCCCUUCGGGGUACUCGAGCGGCGAACGGGUGAGUAACACGUGAGCAACCUGCCCCUGGCUCUGGGAUAGCCUCCGGAAACGGGGAUUAAUACCGGACAUGACCUGCUGCCGCAUGGUGGCGGGUGGAAAGUUUUUCGGCCAGGGUGGGGCUCGCGGCCUAUCAGCUUGUUGGGGGGGUGACGGCCCACCAAGGCGACGACGGGUAGCCGGCCUGAGAGGGCGACCGGCCACACUGGGACUGAGACACGGCCCAGACUCCUACGGGAGGCAGCAGUGGGGAAUAUUGCGCAAUGGGCGGAAGCCUGACGCAGCGACGCCGCGUGCGGGAUGAAGGCCUUCGGGUUGUAAACCGCUUUCACCAGGGGCGAAGCGAGAGUGACGGUACCUGGGGAAGAAGCGCCGGCUAACUACGCGCCAGCAGCCGC
Molecule: ribosomal RNA, 474 nt
Filed under: uncultured bacterium
Lineage: Bacteria
Description: SSU rRNA
Rfam family: Bacterial small subunit ribosomal RNA
Source: RNAcentral